GAUGAAGAACGUAGCGAAAUGCGAUAAGUAAUGUGAAUUGCAGAAUUCAGUGAAUCAUCGAAUCUUUGAACGCACAUUGCGCCCCUUGGUAUUCCGGGGGGCAUGCCUGUUCGAGCGUCAUUAUAACCCCUCAAGCUCAGCUUGGUGUUGGGGCCUGCCGACUGGCAGCCCUUAAAAUCAGUGGCGGCGCCAUCUGGCUCUAAGCGUAGUAAUUUCUCUCGCUAUAGAGUCCCGGUGGAUGCUUGCCAGCAACCCCCAACUUUCUAUGGUUGACCUCGGAUCAGGUAGGGAUACCCGCUGAACUUAAGCAUAUCAUAAGCGGAGGA
Molecule: unclassified non-coding RNA, 326 nt
Filed under: soil metagenome
Description: partial contains 5.8S ribosomal RNA, internal transcribed spacer 2, and large subunit ribosomal RNA
Rfam family: 5.8S ribosomal RNA (bases 1-120)
Source: RNAcentral